UGAGGAAUAUUGGUCAAUGGGCGGAAGCCUGAACCAGCCAUGCCGCGUGCAGGAAGGAGGCCCUACGGGUUGUAAACUGCUUUUACCCGGGAAGAAACCGCCCCCUGUGGGGGGCGUUGCCGGUACCGGGGGAAAAAGGAUCGGCUAACUCCGUGCCAGCAGCCGCGGUAAUACGGAGGAUCCGGGCGUUAUCCGGAAUUACUGGGUUUAAAGGGUGCGUAGGCGGGGAUUUGAGCCGGCGGUGAAAUGCAGCGGCUCAACCGCGGGAAUGCCGUUGGGACUGGGGCGCUUGGAUACGGUCGGGGCGGGGGGAACUCGUGGUGUAGCGGUGAAAUGCAUAGAUAUCACGAGGAACGCCGGUAGCGAAGGCAGCUCGCCGGGCCGGUAUUGACGCUGAGGCACGAAAGCGUGGGGAUCGAACA
Molecule: ribosomal RNA, 422 nt
Filed under: uncultured prokaryote
Description: bacterial SSU rRNA
Rfam family: Bacterial small subunit ribosomal RNA
Source: RNAcentral